RNAcentral lists this ribosomal RNA (1402 nucleotides) under metagenome. RNAcentral describes it as "bacterial LSU rRNA". It matches the Rfam family "Bacterial large subunit ribosomal RNA", at positions 654 to 2132 of the family's 2925-position model. The record is from RNAcentral.
AAAUUAACGGAGCCGUAGCGAAAGCGAGUCCAAAUAGGGCGCUUAGUCAGUGGGGGCAGACGCGAAACUUUGUGAUCUAUCCAUGGGCAGGUUGAAGGUUAGGUAAAACUAACUGGAGGACCGAACCCGUUGACGUUGAAAAGUCUUGGGAUGACCUGUGGAUAGGGGUGAAAGGCCAAUCAAACUCAGAGAUAGCUCGUUCUCCCCGAAAUGUUUUUAGGAACAGCCUCGGAUUUAGAAGUAUGUUAGAGGUAGAGCUACUGAUUGGGCUAGGGGGCUUCACCGCCUACCAAACCCUGACAAACUCCGAAUGCUAACAUAUAUCUCCGGGAGUGAGGCUGCGGGUGCUAAGAUCCGUGGCCGAGAGGGAAAUAACCCAGAAUAGCAGCUAAGGUCCCUAAUAAGUAGUUAAGUUGAUCAAACGAGGUGAGACUUCUAUAACAGCCAGGAUGUUUGCUUGGAAGCAGCAAUUCAUUUAAAGAGUGCGUAACAGCUCACUGGUCGAGAGGUCUUGCACGGAAAAUAAUCGGGCAUCAAACUACUAACCGAAGCUCUAUGAUUGCCGCUAGGCGGUAUAUCGGUAGGGGAGCAUUCUGACUGCAUCGAAGGUGUACGGUGACGUAUGCUGGAGCGGUUAGAAAAGAAAAUGUAGGCAUAAGUAACGAUAAAUAAGGUGAAAAACCUUAUCGCCGAAAGUCUAAGGGUUCCUGAUCAACGUUAAUCGGAUCAGGGUUAGCCCGGUCCUUAGUCAAACCCGAAAGGGGUAGACGAUGGAAAGCAGGUUAAUAUUCCUGCGCCUGCUAUACACUAAAAGUGACGGAGAGCCGUGGUCGCUACGUACUGACAGAAUAGUGCGUUCAGUGGAGUCUUCGGACGAAGCGAAGUGAUAAAAGCUCUUCCAAGAAAAGCGAGUAUAGCAGCCGGUACCGCAAACCGACACAGGUAGACGGGAUGAGUAUUCUAAGGCGCUCGGGUGAGCCGUGGAGAAGGAACUAGGCAAAUUGACGCUGUAACUUCGGGAUAAAGCGUACCAUCUUAGGAUGGUCUCAGUAAAUUGGUUCAACCAACUGUUUAACAAAAACACAGGGCCCUGCAAAAUCGAAAGAUGACGUAUAGAGCCUGAUACCUGCCCGGUGCUGGAAGGUUAAGGAAGGAUGUUCGGCGCAAGCCAAAGCUUCUGACUGAAGCCCCAGUAAACGGCGGCCGUAACGAUAACGGUCCUAAGGUAGCGAAAUUCCUUGUCGGGUAAGUUCCGACCUGCACGAAUGGUCUAAUGAGUUGAACGCUGUCUCCUCCACGAGCCCGGUGAAAUUGUAGUAUCGGUGAAGAUGCCGGUUACCCGCCACGGGACGGAAAGACCCCGUGAACCUUCACUACAGCUUUGCAUUGAUUUUGAAUUACC